This 1411-nucleotide long non-coding RNA is filed under the name Anas platyrhynchos platyrhynchos (common mallard). RNAcentral describes it as "lncRNA (ENSAPLG00000026012.1)". The record is from RNAcentral. Lineage: Eukaryota; Metazoa; Chordata; Aves; Anseriformes; Anatidae.
CUUAAAAUCAUCUUUAGAAGCUCUGCUCCAACUCAACACUGGGUGUAUUUCAGGUCUCUGAAUAAAGCUCACCACUUCCAUUCUGGGUUAUUCUCCUAGAUACAUAAUUUACUAGGAUAUUUUACAUUUUAAAAGAAACCUCAGAAUAAGCUUCUUAUUGCCCUUCAAGGAUUGCCAGCGCUACCCGUCAGGAAACCCUGACCUUAAAAUCAUGAAUGUAAAGUAAUAUAUGUGUAUGUAUAUAUAUAUAUAUGUAUGUAUUUUUUAUGUAUAUAUUUUUAUGUAUAUAUUUAUAGAUUUAUUUCCUAUGAGCUUGUCCAGGUGUGUUUUUCCCCCUUGGCACUUCAGGUGGGUUAGCUGCCUUGUGUUCAUGAUUCCUUGUCCAUGUCCCUCCCAGCGAGAGAAAGAAACAACAGAAUGAAAUGGUGUGGUCCUCCUGAACUGGAGCUGAAAGCUGACCUGUGAUGGGCCAUCCAGCCCUUUAAAUAAAGCCAUGGGAAAACACUUCUGGUCUGGAGUCAGGCCUGGAUUAGAAGUUACAGGUUGUUACUCUCUUUUUUAAACCAUGCCUAGGGUUGGGUAGGGGUCAGCAACGAGCAGAGGCAAGGGUAGUAGAUUGUCUGACUUUUUGGUUGCCUUGCAAGUGCAAGGUUAUGAUGCAGUGUUCCUGUUCCUGCUGAAAUGUUGUUGGCAGUCUCAGAGAACAAGGAGCCCAGGGGGACAGCCAGGUGGGCAGGCAGAGUCACUUCUGGGAACGGCUUUCACCUGGUCUCAUUUUGGCCAGGUGCUGCCUGUUUUCUCCGGCGUGCCCUUUUUUGCUGCAGCAGGAGGUUGGCUGAGAGUAAUUUUGAAGAAAGGUAUUGUGGAGGUAGAAGCAUUUUUUUUCCCUUUGCAACGUUACAAAAUUUUAUAUUUACCUUUACAAGAUCUGUUUCAGAAGAGAUGGAGCUAUCUGCAAAGAUUUUCGUUUAUGCGAUGUGUUCGUUGUGGUGCAGUGCUGUGGGAGGUUUUGUGCAUGCCUGCAGAAGAUUUUUCUUGUUUCAAGGCUUUCCAGAAAACCUUACCCAGAAUCUUGGAGUUCCUCUGAAGGAAGUCCAGAACACAAAAUAACGAAUGGCUCAUCACGUUCAGAGGGGCAGGACAGUGUAUGUGGUUAGAAAUGAAACGUAAGCUGCCUUUUCAAAGAGGCUGAUGACAAAAUGCAGGCUUUGGUAUCAGCAAGGGCAGCAGUGCCUCGAGUCAUCUGUCCCUGAGCCUCUGAGUUCUUUCUGCUUUCAUUUAUUGUGUGGGAGGUCACACAAGGUGACACUCAGAGUCACAGCUUCUGUCCGUCUUGCACUUGGAAGCUGCAGUGGAGGCUCCUACAAAUUACUUUGGAAAAUAAAAACAGCAGGAGGGAGAAUGCUGUGCA